RNAcentral lists this ribosomal RNA (330 nucleotides) under uncultured Chloroflexota bacterium. RNAcentral's name for it is "bacterial SSU rRNA". It matches the Rfam family "Bacterial small subunit ribosomal RNA", at positions 28 to 351 of the family's 1533-position model. Lineage: Bacteria; Bacillati; Chloroflexota. The record is from RNAcentral.
GAUGAACGCUGGCGGCGUGCCUAAUACAUGCAAGUCGAACGAGGUGCUUUUGUAGCAAUACGAGGGUAUCCUAGUGGCGAACGGGUGAGUAACGCGUUGGUGACCUGCCCCAAGGUGCGGGAUAACAGUCCGAAAGGAUUGCUAAUACCGCAUGUGGUCAUCGGGUUUAGAAACCGAUGUCUAAAGGAGCAAUCCGCUUUGGGAGGGACCUGCGUCCCAUCAGCUAGUUGGUGAGGUAAUGGCUUACCAAGGCGACGACGGGUAGGGGACCUGAGAGGGUGGCCCCCCACAAUGGAACUGAAACACGGUCCAUACACCUACGGGUGGCAG